This 253-nucleotide ribosomal RNA is filed under the name uncultured bacterium. Its description in RNAcentral is "partial 16S ribosomal RNA". It matches the Rfam family "Bacterial small subunit ribosomal RNA", at positions 524 to 776 of the family's 1533-position model. The record is from RNAcentral.
UACGUAGGGGGCAAGCGUUGUCCGGAUUUAUUGGGCGUAAAGAGCGUGUAGGCGGCCAGACAGGUCCGUUGUGAAAACUCGAGGCUCAACCUCGAGACGCCGAUGGAAACCGUCUGGCUAGAGUCCGGAAGAGGAGAGUGGAAUUCCUGGUGUAGCGGUGAAAUGCGCAGAUAUCAGGAAGAACACCCGUGGCGAAGGCGGUUCUCUGGGACGGUACUGGCGCUGAGACGCGAAAGCGUGGGGAGCGAACAGG